GGGUUUGCAGCGGGACAUGGAGGGAACGGUAGGCAUAGAGAAUGUGCUGUGCUGAUAUGGUUUAUGUAAUAUUUUUCAAAAUCUUCCAAUAAUUUGUGUUUAUGUGUUCUACUAGAUCCUGAACUCUUGUCUCAAAAUGAUUGAGAAGGUAGUGUAGCUCCUGUGAAAUAUUUAAUUCAAAAUUAUUGGAUAGUCUAGUUCAAUAGUCAAUAUAUUUUGACAGUAAGAGAUUUAGCAAACUUUCUCUGUUAUAGAGAGUAGAGAACCUGUUUGCUGCAGACAGCUAUGUCAUUUCCACUUGGUUCCCACCAUCAUCGAGGAACGCCAUGGAUCACCUUCCGACACGUUGCUCACAGCCUCUCUUCUGGCCCCUGGAGAGAGCUUGGUGUGAAUGAUGUCCAGGGCCUAACAAAGCAAGGGUGCUCCAACAACUGUGGCGUGUUUGUUUUGAUGUACACUCUGUACAUUGUAAUGGGGGCCAAUUGUGAUUUCAGCGAGGAAAACAUGCUGCAAAUUAGGAGAUGGUGGUGUCUCGCUCUCCUGCAGAACUUCCCCAUGCCGUAAGAGCCCUGAAUAUCACACUUUUGAAUCAAAUGACAAAAAAAACAGUUUUACGCACUGCCAACAGUCCAACAUGAAUGUUUUCAUAGUUACUGUAUGUUGUCAUAAAAUCACUAAGGUCUGAGGAAGACCGAUUGCAGGACAGAAAACGGCGACGAGUGCAAGGAGGGCUACAGACACUGGGAAAUUGACGGACCUGGAAACCGGGAACAGGGUUGCUUGCUAUGGGCCAGAUACUUGAUAAUACCCUGAUACUUGCCUUUGUCAAACAUUUAUGGAAGCUUUUUUUUCCUCUUUACAGAUCAACAUUUUUUGCCUGGGGUGAAAAUAAAAAUCAAUGAUGCAAAGUCUUCUGUCUUUGGUUUAUUUGACAUGGCUAAUAUAAUUGAGUGUACGAAAUAAUAUGUGUCUAUACUAAAAAAGACAUUUGAAAUGACAAGUUAAAAGUAGGAAUGUCUAAGUCUAUCAAAUGCAUGAACUUCUUUCCAUACUACCGGUAAGUCAUCGUGCUGUGCUGUGCUGUAUUGAUGUUUGAGAAUGUGCUGCCGGAUCUCCGCCUCCAGAUGGCGCCCAAGAGGGUAAAACCAUGGGUUAAACGUUACUUGCCCCUGACUGCAGCCGCAGAUCGAGGAGGAGCUAAAUGUGGGCGGGGUUAAACGUUUAACCCCGCCCACAUUUAAGGAAAAUUCCGCGCAGUAUCAUGGACUCAGACGGAAAAACGUUCUCCCGCUUUCUGCAGAAAGCGGGAUAACGUAUUUCCGUCUGAGUCCAUGAUACUGCGCGCUUUUCUGCUAGAGGUAAGUUGCCGCUCUCUGUUCGUGUACAUUAUGCACUAAUGUAUGGAUAGACCAACAAGUUGAUCAUUAAAAUAUUCAUGGAAGUAACAUGCAUAGGCCUCAUGUUUAUGUCAUGAGGUCGUUUGAAAAACAGCAUUUAGGCAGUGUUUUUAAGUCAUCGUGCUGUGUGCUGUGCUGUGCUGUAUUGAUGUUUGAGAAUGUGCUGCCGGAUCUCCGCCACCAGAUGGCGCCCGAGAGGGUAAAACCAUGGGUUAAACGUUUAGACCCGCCCACAUUUAGCUCCUCCUCGAUCUGCGGGCUGCAGUCAGGGGCGCUUGCAAGUUUCCUUAGAUGUGGGCGGGGUUAAACGUUUAACCCCGCCCACAUUUAGCUCCUCCUCGAUCUGCGGGCUGCAGUCAGGGGUUACUCGUCAGGGGCGCUUGCAAGUUUCCUUAGAUGUGGGCGGGGUUAAACGUUUAACCCCGCCCACAUUUAGCUCCUCCUCGAUCUGCGGGCUGCAGUCAGGGGUUACUCAAAAAUUCGGGACGAUUCGGGACGGUUCAAAAUGUUUUUCGGGACGUUUCUGGGACGGUGGUGAAAAAAAGUUAAUUUUAACCCCUGCCCCUUUCACCCUCUGGGUUGGCGCGGUGCUUCAGGGAGGCGGGCUGCGUCCACCACUGCAGGGAGAAGUGGGCCACCUCCGCUGUGCACUGAGACAGCAGCAAACUGCCCCCGCCCGACAGGGUGGCCGGCACUCAGAACAAAUUGACAAAGACUG
Gadus macrocephalus (Pacific cod) is the source of this 2115-nucleotide long non-coding RNA. RefSeq lists it as uncharacterized. The transcript is spliced from 6 exons. NCBI's taxonomy places the organism in Eukaryota, Metazoa, Chordata, Actinopteri, Gadiformes, Gadidae. The record is from RefSeq and is a predicted model, not a curated record.